GGGCGCGGGGAGAACAAAGGAGCAUUUCGGGCAAACGGGGAACACUGCGGCACCUACUUCGGACUCGGGGUGAAGAAUUGCGCGUGCGCACCUAAAGCGCGUGCCCCGCCCCCUGUCUUUAAACCUGGCGGCGGGAAAGGGGACUCCGCCCUUGCCAAGAGUGCACCCGCGGCUCCGAAAGGACGCCAUCCGCUAGAGCCCUUUCUCCCACACACUCACCCGCUCCCCGCCGGUCCUCAGGAUCCCCGCGGAGCCAACGGCCCGCAGGCCCCCGGCCACAGCCUUUCCCGCCACCCGGCUCAGCGAGACCAAUACCCGCCUGCGUGGGAGCGGGGCGGGGCGAACUGGGCUGGUGCAUAUGACCCCAAGCGAGCAGGGGGUGGUGGUGAUGAAGUAAGGAAAAGGGAAGCGAGUACACGUACUGUUUUAUCUGAGUCCAUUCCCUAUAUUGAGCUAAGAACCACAGCGCUAUGAAUUUUCUGCCAACUUAAAAUAAUAGAAAUAAAAAUCCGAUUAGAGGUAAAUUUACAAACAUUCUCUUCCCCUUCUCCUAGUCAAGUGGAUUAUUCCAAAGUCCCACUGGUUAGUUAGAAAAAUUAGGCUUUAUUUGGGAGGAAGUGGAGUUGAGCUAAGGGCUAGAGUGGUCUUUUGUGGGCGGGGUGCCUUUCACGCUAGAGAGAUAGGCUUAAAGCUUGCGAAGAGCAUGCAGAUGCCUAAAAGGAAGAGAACAACAGUAAAUAUACAUUGGUAAGUUGAGAAUCUCCUCUGGACUCUGCUGAGUGUAUUUUGCCCUCCUCUGAUGGGUGUAUUUUGCCCAUGACAAAAGAAGAUAGGGCUCAAACGAAUAAUUAUCUCAUGAAAUAUUAAUCAUUUGAAUAGAACGAAUCGAUUUCUAGGAUAUGAAGAGAGAAUUGCUGAAGAUGAAAGAACACAUGAGAGAAAAGUGAAAAGACGCACACACAAAAAAAGGAAAAUAAAGAAGACUAUAAAACUAGGGGUAAAAGAUACCAUUUGAAGGGUGUUUUGAGUUGCUCUAACUAAAUUAAAACUCUGAGGGUCAAAGACUCUUCCCUCCUACUGCCGCCCUCCCCCCCCCCCCUCGUGAUUUGCUCCCCUGCCUCAUGAUUUGCUCCAGGCAUCAGAUUUCCUGUUUUGACUUUAGGGAAUCCUUCUGUGGCUUAAGUACCUUCUGCCUGAAGGCCCUUUUGGGAAUGUCUGGCAGAACAGCUAAACUAGUUAAUUUUUCUAGAUUCUAGGCUCACCCUACCCCUUGUUUAGGUUGGGAGCUCACUGGCCCAAGGCCUCCAAAGAGAUCCAUCAUACCAGAAUGAACACAAAACCCAGCCAGUGGAUGUAGACAAGUUUAUGUGGCUUUACAGAACAGUUCAAACCCCAGUGUUCACUUUUCUCAGAGCUACUUCCCCACCCAAGUCCUUGGGGCAAGCAUCCCUGAGAUAAGUAGACUACACUCUUCGAUUAACUUCCCCAAAACUUUCUGGUACAAUUGCAACCUGAUCUGGGGCUAAUAACGCCAUUUCCUCUCUCCCUGCCUCCAGCCCCUUCCUCCCAACCCUUGGAAUGCCUUGUCUCCAUCUGCCUCCUGUGAAGAGUACUCCCUGCUUCCCUGCUCCUGCAGAAACCUAGGGUCAUAAACUUGACUUGGCAGCAAGGUAAAGGCCGAAGCGUAAAGGUCUUGGUUCCUGUGCUCACCACACUGGGUUGGGAGAGGAAGGUAAAGGAUGACACCUUUUUUCCCUUCCCUACCUCUCCUGCUGUGCCCCAAAACUUAGACACAGCCACAUUCACUCACAUUCAUACGCACAAUCAUGCACACACAGCGGCGAAGAGAGGUGGGAUGGAGAGGAAGGGAAGUUUGCACAAACCAGCUCAUGAAUGCAACUUGAAAGAUUUCACACGGCAAAAGGCAAAACACACACACACACACACACGCACAUAAAUUAAAAAAUAAAGAAAUACAUGUCCCUC
This 1986-nucleotide long non-coding RNA is filed under the name Lynx pardinus (Iberian lynx). Lineage: Eukaryota; Metazoa; Chordata; Mammalia; Carnivora; Felidae. The record is from RNAcentral.